Molecule: ribosomal RNA, 136 nt
Filed under: uncultured eukaryote
Lineage: Eukaryota
Description: partial 18S ribosomal RNA
Rfam family: Eukaryotic small subunit ribosomal RNA
Source: RNAcentral
UGGUGGAGUGAUUUGUCUGCUUAAUUGCGAUAACGAACGAGACCUUAACCUGCUAAAUAGCCCGCCGGCGUCUGCCGGCCGCUGGCUUCUUAGAGGGACUAUCGGCUCAAGCCGAUGGAAGUUUGAGGCAAUAACA